RNAcentral lists this ribosomal RNA (253 nucleotides) under uncultured bacterium. RNAcentral describes it as "partial 16S ribosomal RNA". It matches the Rfam family "Bacterial small subunit ribosomal RNA", at positions 524 to 776 of the family's 1533-position model. The record is from RNAcentral.
UACGAACUGUGCGAACGUUAUUCGGAAUCACUGGGCUUACAGGGUGCGUAGGCGGCCAACUAAGUCGGAUGUGAAAUCCCCAGGCUCAACUUGGGAACUGCAUCCGAUACUGGAUGGCUUGAAUUCGGGAGAGGGAUGCAGAAUUCCAGGUGUAGCGGUGAAAUGCGUAGAUAUCUGGAGGAAUACCGGUGGCGAAGGCGGCAUCCUGGACCGACAUUGACGCUGAGGAGCGAAAGCUAGGGGAGCAAACGGG